GAUGAAGAACGUAGCGAAAUGCGAUAAGUAGUGUGAAUUGCAGAAUUCAUUGAAUCAUCGAAUCUUUGAACGCACAUUGCGCCCCUUGGUAUUCCAUGGGGCAUGCCUGUUCGAGCGUCAUUUGUACCUUCAAGCUCUGCUUGGUGUUGGGUGUUUGUCUCGCCUCUGCGUGUAGACUCGCCUCAAAACAAUUGGCAGCCGGCGUAUUGAUUUCGGAGCGCAGUACAUCUCGCGCUUUGCACUCAUAACGACGACGUCCAAAAGUACAUUUUUACACUCUUGACCUCGGAUCAGGUAGGGAUACCCGCUGAACUUAAGCAUAUCAAUAAGCGGAGGA
This 337-nucleotide unclassified non-coding RNA is filed under the name soil metagenome. RNAcentral describes it as "partial contains 5.8S ribosomal RNA, internal transcribed spacer 2, and large subunit ribosomal RNA". The stretch from base 1 to 120 matches the Rfam family "5.8S ribosomal RNA", at positions 35 to 154 of the family's 154-position model. The record is from RNAcentral.